AACGAACGCUGGCGGCAUGCCUAACACAUGCAAGUCGAACGAACCCUUCGGGGUUAGUGGCGCACGGGUGCGUAACGCGUGGGAACCUGCCUUUAGGUUCGGAAUAACUCAGAGAAAUUUGAGCUAAUACCGGAUAAUGUCUUCGGACCAAAGAUUUAUCGCCUUUAGAUGGGCCCGCGUUGGAUUAGCUAGUUGGUAAGGUAAAAGCUUACCAAGGCGACGAUCCAUAGCUGGUCUGAGAGGAUGAUCAGCCACACUGGGACUGAGACACGGCCCAGACUCCUACGGGAGGCAGCAGUGGGGAAUAUUGGACAAUGGGCGAAAGCCUGAUCCAGCAAUGCCGCGUGAGUGAUGAAGGCCUUAGGGUUGUAAAGCUCUUUUACCAGGGAUGAUAAUGACAGUACCUGGAGAAUAAGCCCCGGCUAACUUCGUG
Molecule: ribosomal RNA, 433 nt
Filed under: uncultured bacterium
Lineage: Bacteria
Description: bacterial SSU rRNA
Rfam family: Bacterial small subunit ribosomal RNA
Source: RNAcentral